CACACAUCUCACUCCACACAUCACCUCACUCCACGCAUCUCACUCCACACAUCUCACUCCACACAUCUCACUCCACACAUCACCUCACUCCACGCAUCUCACUCCACACAUCAUACUCCACACAUCUCACUCCACACAUCACCUCACUCCACGCAUCUCACUCCACACAUCUCCUCACUCCACGCAUCUCACUCCACACAUCUCACUCCACACAUCUCACUCCACACAUCUCCUCAUUCCACACAUCUCCUCACUCCACACAUCUCCUCACUCCACACAUCUCACUCCAGACAUCUCCUCACUCCACACAUCUCACUCCACGCAUCUCCUCACUCCAUGCGUCUCCUCACUCCACGCAUCUCCUCACACCACGCAUCUCACUCCACACAUCUCCUCACUCCACGCAUCUCACUCCACACAUCUCCUCACUCCACACAUCUCACUCCACGCAUCUCCUCACUCCACACGUCUCCUCACUCCACACAUCUCCUCACUCCACACAUCUCACUCCACACAUC
Molecule: long non-coding RNA, 518 nt
Filed under: Pan troglodytes (chimpanzee)
Lineage: Eukaryota; Metazoa; Chordata; Mammalia; Primates; Hominidae
Description: long non-coding RNA NONPTRT010960
Source: RNAcentral